Molecule: non-coding RNA, 78 nt
Organism: Schistosoma curassoni
Lineage: Eukaryota; Metazoa; Platyhelminthes; Trematoda; Strigeidida; Schistosomatidae
Source: Rfam
AGCUUUCUGAAUCCAUGCCAAAAUCUCGUUAGUCACCAGACCAUCAAUACUGAUGAGACUACCGAGAUAAGUGAAGUA